Long non-coding RNA from Oncorhynchus tshawytscha (Chinook salmon), 334 nucleotides. The record is from Ensembl. NCBI's taxonomy places the organism in Eukaryota, Metazoa, Chordata, Actinopteri, Salmoniformes, Salmonidae.
GGGGAGGACAGUGGGUGUGUUAGUGGGGAGGACAGUGGGUGUGUUAGUGGGGAGGACCGUGGGUGUGUUAGUUGGGAGGACAGUGGGGGUGUGUAGGGUGUGUUAGUUGGGAGGACAGUGGGUGUGUUAGUGGGGAGGACAGUGGGUGUGUUAGGACAGUGGGGAGGACAGUGGGUGUGUUAGUGGGGAGGACAGUGGGUGUAUUAGUGGGGAGGACAAUGGGUGUGUUAGUGGGGAGGACAGUGGGUGUGUUAGUGGGGAGGACAGUGGGUGUGUUAGUGGGGAGGACAGUGGGUGUGUUAUGGGGGAGGACAGUGGGUGUGUUAGUGGGGAG